UUAGAUUUGUAUUUUUCAAUCUAUUAAUGCUAAAAGAUUGUUUAAUUUAACAUUAAUAGACAAAAUUUGUUAAUUGGCCUUAUUUUGUCUACUUCAGCCGCAUCUCCGGAAUUUCAUGGCAUACAAGGCACAAGUAAUAAAAAAGCUCAAUGAAGAAGUGUCUCUUACGGCAUGUAAAUUUUGGCCUGCAUACUGUGAUGCUCAGCUCCAACCAACGGAUUUAAAAGAGUUAUUGCCACGCCUGAUUCCAAUGUUGCUCUCAGACAUGGCUUAUGAAGAUGAUGAUGAGACACUUUCCAAUGAUGAGGUUUAUUUUCCGUUGGUAUUAUAUGUUUUUCACCAUUUUUAAAUUAUAUAAUUAUAAUGUACGAAAGCAAUUCACUUUUGCAGGAGGAUAAAUCUCAACAAGACAUAUAUAAGGUUUAGUUCUAUGUUCUUGUGACUUCACUUAUUCUUACAAAUAAUUUUUAUUCAAUUUUCAU
Arabidopsis lyrata subsp. lyrata is the source of this 482-nucleotide long non-coding RNA. RefSeq lists it as uncharacterized. The transcript is spliced from 3 exons. NCBI's taxonomy places the organism in Eukaryota, Viridiplantae, Streptophyta, Magnoliopsida, Brassicales, Brassicaceae. The record is from RefSeq and is a predicted model, not a curated record.